RNAcentral lists this long non-coding RNA (2566 nucleotides) under Sus scrofa (pig). RNAcentral's name for it is "lncRNA (ENSSSCG00060059547.1)". Lineage: Eukaryota; Metazoa; Chordata; Mammalia; Artiodactyla; Suidae. The record is from RNAcentral.
UUUUUUUUUUUUUUUUUUUUUUUUUUAGUCAACACGGUUUCCUGUGCAUCAGCAUUUGGCCCUCAUGAAACAAAGAGGCAAAAUGCCAUCUUCCAGGAUGAGAAGGUAUAUGUGUACGUGGUAGCUGUGGGCAAGGGCUGUAAAAUCAGACAAAGCUGAAUGCAAGGCUCCCUGAAUUCCCUGUGUACUAGAGCAUACACUGACUUUCUCAGGGAGCCUGCAUUAAAAUGGGGAAGGGAAAUUAAACUAUCCAAUAUACAAAGAAUCACUUACUUUUAAAGUGAAGUGGGGGUAAACUAAUGAUACAGAUGGCAUGGGACAGUUACACAGGCAGCUGUAGAAGUCCCAGUAGUGUUACGGCAGCUGCCCAGCAGCCCUGCGCCAGAGUGUAUCGGCUCUAGCCACAGCCCUGUGGCUGUCGUGUACCAGCUCCAGCAGCUCUGUGGCUGCAGGGUCUCAGCUCUUUUACCCGGUGAGAAACCAAGUGAGCACUUGGAGAGGUGGAGAACUCAGGUUUAUCACGCCGGGGGGCUCAAGAGGAGAUGGCUCUCUGGAGUUUGAGCCCCGAAGAAGGGUCUCCCAAGGCUUUUGUGGGCUCCCUCUUCCGGGUCCCUGCUUGGCUGGUUGGACCAGAGUGAGGUCAGGCAAGGUAGUGGAUGCGGAAGCAAGUUUACAGAAGCAGAUGCGUCGGGGAGGGACGGUUGGGGGCAGUUGGCUGGACUUUGCUUCGUCAUCCUGCCCGGGGUCUCUCCUUUCUACAUUUUUACUGGGACAUUCUCUCCUACAGUAGGAGACCAAAGAUAGAGAGGGAACCCUGGGGGACUUUGGGAGAUCACUGAAAGUUCACAGUCCCUUGAGAAAGCCAUCAGAAUGUCAUGGAACAAAGCAGGCUUGCUGAAUUAUGAAACCAUAGAUAAAAGCACAAGAUAUGCCUCAGAUCAUUAAGUGAAAGACAAAAUGAGGCCUGCAUUCAAAUAGCUCUUGGGGCAACAGCAAAAGAAGGGGUCCUAAGGAAGUUCCCUUACGGUGGCUGUCGGUUAAGGAUCUGGCAGUGCCGCAGCUGGGACGCAGGUUCGAUCCCUGGCCUGGGAACAUCCACAUGCCUUGGGUGCGGCCAAAUAAAGGGAGGGGGGGUAGUUAUUUUGGAAAGGAUUUUAUAUUCUUUUUAAAAGCAUCAUCAUAGUUAUGGUGGGAAAAUCAGAAUUGAGAAGACUUUAGUUAUGAUAUGCUUUAGGUUGUUUUUUUUUUUUUUUAAUUUCUAAAUACAGCGAAACACAAGUUCGCGCCGAGCACUCCCGAACGUAUUGCAACAAAGGCAAAGAGGCGGAGAGCGGCUCCAUUUACUGAGAUGGGGAAUUCGGAGGAAGGAGCAGGAGGGGUUGAAGUAAGAAGUUGAGGCGGGGAGAACUGGACAGUCCAGCCUCGCACACACUAAGACAGGGAAGUGGAGGCGCAGACCUGUGGAAAGCAACAUAAUGUCUUUUCUAUCAAAGGAAACCUUGGUGACUCCAGUUUGCUGCGGCUUCUGCUGAAUCAACCCUGCGACCCCCCUCCUCUUUCCCUCUUCUCUCAGUAACAACGUGUUUCAAAUUAGCCAACGGGGAAGAAUGUGUGCCCUGACCCGACCCAUGGGGAAGGGGACAGGUCCAUCACCUGCGUUAAGGAUGAAGCGGGGAGGGUCCUUUGUUGGGUGCGCACACUUUUUGGAGCGCCCGCGCCCUUCUGCAGAAGUAAAGAGCCUUGUCGAGAUUUCUCCUUGUCCACGUGUCUCACUUUCCGACACUGAUGACCCGAGCCAGUUACUGUAAUUUCCAACCGAACUGAGCAGGCAAUCGGUGAGCAGAAGCUCCAGAUGGAGGCAGCCCUUUGGGGGUGGCCUGGCUCUGUGUCGGGAUCACAGCCUGGGGAAAGGCUGCUGGGUGAAAGCCUGGAAACUGACCACAAGGUGAGAAGGAAAGAGAGGCUAGGAUGAGUUGCGAGGAAAGCUAAAAUCCAAUCACCCAGCCACAGAUGAGGAAGCUGAAAAGGAGGGAGGGUGACCAGAGAGGAAGCGCCUGCAGCAUGAGGUCUCGACAGGACAGAACCGUGUGGGCCAUCUUGUCACAUGACGCUGAGAAGGGACGUGAGAUGAAAACUGUCCCCUGGGGUUUGCCAGGCAGAAGUCACCUGCGGUGCUGCACACAGCUGUUUGGUAGAGGGAGGGAGGAAGGGACCGCGCAGCAGUAGUUGGCGAGUGGGGGACAGUGAAGGAAAGAAGCGCGGGCGAGCGCUUUAGCGACAAGAGAGAUGGGAGGGGAGGGAGAUGGCAGGUGGAGGAGGACGGGAGGCAGCUGGAGGGCUUUGGUUAAGCUUGGAGAGAUGUGCGAGUUCUGAGGGGCGGACUGAAUAGAAGGGGGAGAAAACACAGAUUAGGGAGAGUGAAGGAAGAAUCAGUAACGUUAGGGAGGAAGAGAUGGCAUCCAGAUCUCAUGCGAAGGGACUGGCCUCAGCCCUUGGUGAGAAGAGACACUAUUUCCAGCACAACAAGAGGAAACGGAGAAUGCGUCCUUCCACAAUAUGCUACCAC